GUAGGAGAACUUUAAAAAAUGUUGAAAAUCAAAAUAUAUUCAACAACAAACUUUUCAGUAAUUUUAAAACUCAAAUAAUAAGCAUCGAGGACAGACUUAUCCUGUAAUUGUUUGGCUAAAUAAAAAAAAUGGAAUGUAGAAAAGUUCUUAUUGCAAUUGAUGGGAGCUCGUACGCAGAAAAAGCCUUUGAAUUUUACAUUGAGAACAUAUACAAAAAAGGAGACUUUCUUCUUUUGGUUCACUGUGCUACACCACCAAAGCUUCCACUCUUCAGUUUUUCAGAACCCUGUGUGUUGCCAUCGGACGAAUGUUAAAUUCUAUUGUUAAUGAAAACAAAAAAAGUUCACAAAUUAUGGAAAAGUUUGAAGUAUUAUGUGAAUCUGCAAAAAUUCCAAAAAAAACUGUUGUCGCAACCGGUAAACCUGGUGAAGCUAUCAUAGAAGCUGCAAAUUUAGAAGAAAUAAACCUCAUAGUUAUGGGGGCGCGAGGUUUAAACGCUUUAAGACGUACGUUUAUUGGUAGUGUGAGUGAUUAUGUUCUCCAACAUUCUAAUGUUCCUGUUACAAUAGUUCCUCCAAUCGUCUGAAACAAACGUUAUUCAAAUUUUCUUUUAAUUCUUAUAUAAUUUAUUUCUUUAUAAUUAUUAUAUAGUCUAUACUGUAUAUAUUACA
Molecule: long non-coding RNA, 671 nt
Organism: Hydra vulgaris (swiftwater hydra)
Lineage: Eukaryota; Metazoa; Cnidaria; Hydrozoa; Anthoathecata; Hydridae
Source: RefSeq, a predicted model, not a curated record